CGUCGCAAGAUUAAACUCAAAGAAUGACGGGACCCGCCCAAGCGGUGGAUGAUGUGGAUAAUUCGAUGCAACGCGAAAACCUUACCUACCCUGACAUGGUCGGAAUCCCGCUGAGAGUGGGAGUGCUCGAAAGAGAACCGGCGCACAGGUGCUGCAUGGCUGUCGUCAGCUCGUGUCGUGAGAUGUUGGGUUAAGUCCCGCAACGAGCGCAACCCUUGUCCUUAGUUGCUACGCAAGAGCACUCUAAGGAGACUGCCGGUGACAAACCGGAGGAAGGUGGGGAUGACGUCAAGUCCUCAUGGCCCUUAUGGGUAGGGCUUCACACGUCAUACAAUGGUCGGAACAGAGGGUUGCCAACCCGCGAGGGGGAGCUAAUCCCAGAAAACCGAUCGUAGUCCGGAUUGCACUCUGCAACUCGAGUGCAUGAAGCUGGAAUCGCUAGUAAUCGCGGAUCAUCAUGCCGCGGUGAAUACGUUCCCGGGUCUUGUACACACCGCCCGUCACACCAUGGGAGUGGGUUUUACCAGAAGUGGCUAGUAAACCGCAAGGAGGACGGUCACCACUGUAGGCAUCGAGGGGGGGAGAAUCUGUGCGAUCUACGUAUCUGAUCA
This 611-nucleotide ribosomal RNA is filed under the name Burkholderia cepacia. RNAcentral describes it as "bacterial SSU rRNA". It matches the Rfam family "Bacterial small subunit ribosomal RNA", at positions 883 to 1512 of the family's 1533-position model. Lineage: Bacteria; Pseudomonadati; Pseudomonadota; Betaproteobacteria; Burkholderiales; Burkholderiaceae. The record is from RNAcentral.